UCCUAUACAAACAGCUAAAAGGUGUUUUACAAAUAUAAUAGGAUGGAACACUCCUCGUGACAUGUAUAUUACAAUUAAGUGGUUCCUCCACUUUUUUUUAGAAAAAGAUUAAAAAGGAAAUUAGACUACUUGUGGAUUUUUUUAAUUUUUCUUUUUCAUUUGUAAAGUUUCAUGAAUGGAAAAAAUAGUGUAUGCUCUGCUUUGUGUAGGAACCACAUAUUAUUUCACUUGCCACUCAAACUCAAGUAAUAUUUCUUUGAUAUUUUAGCUAAAAGCAAUAAUCCAAAAGUUACUUUUUAUCUACAUGAAUGUUAUUACAAAUAUAAAUUUAAAACAAUAUAACCAAUUAUAAAAUAAAUUAUCAAAUAUAAUCCUUUAUAUACUAAAGCGCAAGUCGCUUGACGAAUUAAAUAGUGACAUGUGGAAAAAAUUUACAAAAUAAAAAUAAAAACAAUUGAAAAGAAAAAAAACAGAAAAAACAAAUCACGAUCAUAAAUCCUGCCACAUCAUAAGUAUUUACAAAACUAAAAAAAUUAAUCAAAAAAGAUAAUAUUUAGAAAAAAUAACCAUUUAACGGUUUCUAGAUAUAUUCUACAAACCCACGAUCUUUUUCUGUCCAUAAUCUAUUUUUCUAUACUUCCGUAUUUAUGAGAUCUUGAAACAAACAUCUGAAAAACUCUCAAUCGAUCAAAACAGAAUAAAAAAGUCAGCGCUGAGUUUGAUAUCUAAAUAAACAUAUGCCAUCCAGCCAUAUUUCCCCUCUUUUGUGCAGUUUCGUUGGUUUAUGUGAAGCACUACAUAGUCAUCAAAACAGAUUUGCAUUGCUGGAGACUUGAUCAAAACAAAGAAAUAUGGACAACAACAAAAAAUAAGGAAGAUAGAAAACAGACAUGGUGGAAUCAGAAGAAAAGCUUUGGUUAAAAGGUAAAUACGCUUCCACCACAUUUACUAUUUGCAUUGGAUUUGUAAUAUUAUUUUUGUAAAGGCUAAAGAACCAUAAAUUUUAUAUUAAAAAUUAUGAGAAGUAUUAGAAGAACUAAAACAGAAAAGCUUCAAAGUAAUAAUUAUAUUCAACAAGCUAAUUAAGAUCAAUGCAUUUUUUUAACCGAAUCUAAUUUAUCUUUUCUUAUAUGUUUAUGGUUAAUUAAUUAUUUGUGUUAAUAUGUAUACAAAUCUCCUGAUAAAUCAAGUUAAAGUAUACAUGUAAGUUUAGUUAUAUAUGAUUGAAAUUUAUAUAACAGAAAUUUGGCUUUUAAAAAAUUGGUUUUAUUUGUAAGCAAACAAGUACUCCCAUGCGUAGUAUGGGAUCAAUACUAGUUACUUAUAUAAUCAAAGAAAUGUGAAAACAUUUUAUAUUCUAUAACAUCAAACAAUAUUGAAAAAAUAUAUUUAGCAAUUGAGAGAGUAUAUAUAUUUUAUAUAAAUAUAAAUUAAAUUGAAAAUAUUAGUUAUUUUAGCUAAAAGACUAUUUUUUGACAUACCCUCACCCAUGAAUAGUAUUUCUUAUUCUUAUAGAAAAAUUAAAAACAUUUUAUUGUAUUUAAAUCAUUUUCCAUUGAAAUGCUUUAUUUUUCCUUUGUUUUCUUAAAUAAAUUUCUCUUUAUAAUUUUUUUUUUACUUUUAUAUAUAUUAGUUUUCUGAAAUAAAAAUAUAAUUUUUUUUUAGUUUUACUCUUAAUAAUUAUUUUAUUAAGUCUAAAUUUUCUUUCUUUCAAUACAUAGAUUAAAUAGCAACUAAACUGAACAUUUUUAUAAUGAAAUUGUUUUGUGAAAUAUGAAAAUUAUAUUUACUGACAUUUAUAUUUACAGAAAAUCUCGAAACGAAACAACUCUCACCAGGUUCCUUCGCUCCAUUGUUCCCAAAAUCCAUGUUUAUAAAAUAAAAACACAAAACUAAAACUAGUUUUCUUACAGGAACGCAUUGGUUUAUAUAUGCGGAGAAAGGGCAAAGGAGAAGGCCUUUGUAUAUAAUUAACUUAUAAGUUGUGAUAAUUAAUAUUAUAUCAAAUUACUGCAUGCAGUGGCUGGAAGCUUUAGAGUGUUUGGAUAUGACACUAAGCUUCAUGUGCCUUUUCUCGAGAGCAAGUUGCGGGAUUAUCUCUCUUCGUGCGGAGAGAUCACGGAUGUUCAUUUUGGCGUUAUGUUCAUGUGUUUAUUUUCGCUCCAUUUUGUUGUCUUUUUCACCGUAUUAUGUGUUUUAUCCGUAUUAACCCAUCUAUAUUAUUAAAACAGAAACAUUACAACUUAUUCUAGGUGGAUUUUAAAGUUGGACCUCUUACUAUAUUGACUAUUUUAACCCAACCUUUUAUAAAAUAUAUUUCCUUAAUUAACUUUCGCUAACAACCAUAAUUAUUUCCUUUUACAUGCAUACAUUUCGUAAUGUCUCUCAAAAUUAUAAACGCAAAUAACGUUUGCUAACAACCAUACACUUUGUAGUCUUUCCAAAUGUCAUCUAUAAACAUUGACUAUGAAAAUGACAAACUCUACACUUUCAAAAACUCUACACGUUCCAUUAACCAACGAUCACUAAAAAAGAACAUUAACAUUAGAGACAACUAAUAGUUUUAUUGUAUUCUAUAUAAGAAUAAACAAUAUAGAAUACAUAUAUAAUGUGUUUAAGCAAAAAUAAAACCCGCGCGGGCGCGCGGGUCAUGAUCUAGUAUAUAUUAAAAGAGAAACAUUACAACAUUUGAGGUAUCUAUGUGUCUUUACUACAAUGAGUUUUAAUAUACUUAGAAAAAUAGGUUGGUCCAUCUAAAUAUAUAAUAAUUUUUUAUUAAAUUAACCAUAAAUUCAUUAUUAAUGUUUUUCAUUAUUUCUUUAAAUAUAAAUUACAGAAUUGCCUAAUGUGGCUAAAGUAUAUAUUAAAAUUAAUUAUUUUGAAUAAUAAAGAUUUGAUAAAAAUUAAUGUAUUUUCUAUCAUUUUUCUCAAUUUAAAAUUAAUUAAAUAAAUUAAAAAACUACAUCAACCAUAUAAUAAAAUUUAGAUUUUUUUGUAUAUGUUAUAUUUUGAUUUUUUCCAAACGACUAUAAAUUACUAAAACUAUUAAAAGUUUCAUAUUCAAAUUUUUGUGAUCCAUAGUUUAAAUUUUUUGUUGUGAUAAAAUACAAACGAUUAAAAAACCGUAUAAGUAAGAAGUUUCAUUUAAUAAAUAUAAAGUGUAAUAUAUAAAUAUAAAUAUUAAUAUUUUUUAAAUUGAACUAUAUAGCAUAUAAAAUAUAUUAAUAUAUUAAUUUUGAAAUUUGAUUUCAACAAAUUUUUUUGGUAAUAGCUUUGAACAAAUAUUGACAAAUUAAUAUUCAAAUUUUAAACAUAGCCUUAAAAAUUUAAAAAAAAAAUUAUAAUUACCAAAACUAUUAAUCACAUAAUGAAAUGUUUUUGUUACUAGUGAUUUAAAGUUUUUGUUGUAAACAUAUACAAAUGACCAAGAAACUAUAUUGAGUAAAAAACAUCAUUUAAUAUAUAUCAAUAUUAAAAAUACACUAUAUAUAUGUUAAUGUUAUUUAAAGUUAAUUAUAUACCAUAUAAAAUAUAAAUAUUAAUUAUUUUGAUAAAUGCAAUUUAUUUAUGUUUUCGCACAAAUUUAGUUAUAUAUUUAUAGUUGCCGACUUGCUAAUUAUUCAAUAUAUAUUUAUUAUUUUAUAUAUAUCUAAAAGAGCAUAUAACAAAAAUAAAUAGUAUAUAUAAUGUUUGUUCCGCACAAGGUGCGGGUCUUAACCCAUAUAUGGUCUUAUUGUUGUUGUUUCUUUUAAAGAUGUGCUUGCUUGCCUCUAUAUUCGUGGAGAUGGCGUAGUAGAGAAGGCGCUGGAACUCCCUGUGAGCGAGGAGUGGGGAUUCAAAGUCGCUCAUGAACCCAAGAGAGACCCUAGCCGUCAUCCCCAUGUUCGUUAUUCCAGGGGUUGAAAAUAUCCUCCUAGCUCUUCUAUGUUAUUAAUAAAAAUACAUAUAAUUGUUAUCAACAGAUAAAAAACUAUGAUUUGACAUUGCUAAUAUCAGCCAGUAUAUUAAAACUUUUUCAUUUUUCA
Brassica rapa (field mustard) is the source of this 4025-nucleotide long non-coding RNA. RefSeq lists it as uncharacterized. The record is from RefSeq and is a predicted model, not a curated record. Lineage: Eukaryota; Viridiplantae; Streptophyta; Magnoliopsida; Brassicales; Brassicaceae.